This 371-nucleotide small RNA is filed under the name Pediococcus stilesii. RNAcentral describes it as "cspA thermoregulator". It matches the Rfam family "cspA thermoregulator", at positions 65 to 428 of the family's 428-position model. Lineage: Bacteria; Bacillati; Bacillota; Bacilli; Lactobacillales; Lactobacillaceae. The record is from Rfam by way of RNAcentral.
UGUGCUUUUGGUUGGGUGCUUUUGGUCAGAUUGUUUUAUUUGAACUAUCCCCAUUACUACCGGCUCGAGCUACAAAUUAAACAAAGCCAUAUUUAUGGUUUACAGGAGGAUGUUCAUAAUGGAACAAGGUACAGUUAAAUGGUUUAACGCUGACAAGGGUUUUGGUUUUAUCACUCGCGAAGAUGGUAGUGACGUAUUCGUUCACUUCUCAGCUAUCCAAGGCGACGGAUUCAAGACUCUUGAAGAAGGCCAAUCAGUUUCUUUCGACGUUGAAGAAAGCGACCGUGGACCACAAGCAGUUAACGUAAACAAAAACUAAUUUAAAUUUUAAAUAGUUAUGAAGGUAGGAAGCUUCGGCGACCUACCUUUUU